RNAcentral lists this ribosomal RNA (448 nucleotides) under uncultured Hydrogenoanaerobacterium sp. RNAcentral's name for it is "bacterial SSU rRNA". It matches the Rfam family "Bacterial small subunit ribosomal RNA", at positions 925 to 1382 of the family's 1533-position model. Lineage: Bacteria; Bacillati; Bacillota; Clostridia; Eubacteriales; Oscillospiraceae. The record is from RNAcentral.
ACAAGCAGUGGAUUAUGUGGUUUAAUCGAAGCAACGCGAAGAACCUUACCAGGUCUUGACAUCGUGCGCAUAACCCAGAGAUGGGUGAAGCCCUUCGGGGCGCAUAGACAGGUGGUGCAUGGUUGUCGUCAGCUCGUGUCGUGAGAUGUUGGGUUAAGUCCCGCAACGAGCGCAACCCUUACGAAUAGUUGCUACGCAAGAGCACUCUAUUAGGACUGCCGUUGACAAAACGGAGGAAGGUGGGAUGACGUCAAAUCAUCAUGCCCCUUAUGACCUGGGCUACACACGUAAUACAAUGGCGGUCAACAGAGGGAAGCGACGCCGCGAGGCCGAGCGAAUCCUCAAAAGCCGUCUCAGUUCGGAUUGCAGGCUGCAACUCGCCUGCAUGAAGUCGGAAUUGCUAGUAAUCGCGGAUCAGCACGCCGCGGUGAAUACGUUCCCGGGCCUU